Long non-coding RNA from Gorilla gorilla gorilla (western lowland gorilla), 724 nucleotides. RefSeq lists it as uncharacterized. NCBI's taxonomy places the organism in Eukaryota, Metazoa, Chordata, Mammalia, Primates, Hominidae. The record is from RefSeq and is a predicted model, not a curated record. The transcript is spliced from 4 exons.
AGCUCCAGUGGGCAUGUUACUCAGGUCUGGCCAAUCAGUAUGUUCCAUGCCCACAAUGAUUGGUUCAAGAAUGCACAUAUGACACAGCCCUGGACAAUGAGAUUCCAUUUCACGACUUCAUCUGGAACUAUUGUGCAGGCAGAGCUCCAGGCUGUCAAGCACAUGCUGAAUAAUUGACUUGAGAACACUUAUGGAGAGAGCUUUGCAGAAAUGCUGGAGGCUUCACAGAAAGAGAGACUAAGAAAGACUGAGGACUGUUAAGCAUGCCCUAUCCUAUUAUCAAACACUUCACUCCAGGGAGAUUAGGACACAGACGUAUACCGAGGGAAGGCCAAGUAAAAAGGAAGGAGAGGGCCAUCCACAAGCCAAGAAGAGGGGUUCCAAUGAAAUGAACCCUGCUGACGCCUUGUUCUCAGACUUCCAGGCCCCAGAAUUGUGAGAAAAUAAAUUUUUGUUCAUUAAGUUACCCAGUCUCUGGUACUUUGUUAAGUCAGCCCUACCAAACUUAUACAGCAUUGUUAGCUCUUACUAAGUGACUCCAUUUUUAUAAAAAGAUAUCAAACUAAUCUGUAUUGUCUGCCUAGAUACUUGCCUAUUUAAAAAGUGACAUAAACUAGCCCCAUAAUGAGCACCCUUUUAGCUUCGGGCCCACCCACCAUUUAGCAAAAAUCAAGCUGAAACAACCUUUAUGAAGGGAAGUUUGGUUAAAGUGUAUUUGUUUCAU